AGCAGUCGCCGUGGUAAAACGGAGGGUGCAAGCGUUAAUCGGAAUUACUGGGCGUAAAGCGCACGCAGGCGGUCUGACAAGUCAGAUGUGAAAUCCCCGGGCUUAACCUGGGAACUGCAUUUGAAACUGUCAGGCUGGAGUCUUGUAGAGGGGGGUGGAAUUCCAGGUGUAGCGGUGAAAUGCGUAGAGAUCUGGAGGAAUACCGGUGGCGAAGGCGGCCCCCUGGACAAAGACUGACGCUCAGGUGCGAAAGCGUGGGGAGCAAACAGGAUUAGAUACCCGCGUAGUCCCUGUCUCUUAUAA
This 303-nucleotide ribosomal RNA is filed under the name uncultured bacterium. RNAcentral's name for it is "partial 16S ribosomal RNA". It matches the Rfam family "Bacterial small subunit ribosomal RNA", at positions 507 to 809 of the family's 1533-position model. The record is from RNAcentral.